AACAACUCACCUGCCGAAUGAAGUAGCCCUGAAAAUGGAUGACGCUGAAGCGCGUGGCCGAUACUACGCCGUCAAUUUUUUUUAAAUGAAGUUGAUGAGUAGGGGGGCGUGGCGGUCGUGUCGAAGCGCUGCGUGCAAACGCGCGUGGAACGGCCGCUAGUGCAGAUCUUGGUGGUAGUAGCAAAUAUUCAAGUGAGAACCUUGAAGGGCGACGCGGGGAAGGGUUCCAUGCGAACAUUGAUUGGGCAUGGGUGAGUCGUCCCUAAGCCGAGUGGCCAUUGCUUGCUCAGUCGGCGAAAGGGAAGCGGGUUGACAUUCCCGCACACGGAUGUGGAACCAAAAAGCGGCGACGCUACGACUGGGGCGGUGACGUUGGCAGUGGCGCUGGGCAGAGUUGUCUUUUCUGUUUAACCAGCCUGACGCUUGCGCUGUGGAAUCCGCUUGUCGGGAGAAACAGGCAAGGCACGGGUAGAGCGCCGGGCUUUUUCCGGCGUCCAGCUCGCCACUGACGGCCCUUGAAAAACUGUCCUCAGGUAAAAAUUCAAUUCCACGCCGUGGCGUACCGAUAUCCGCAUCAGGUCCCCAAGGUGAACAGCCUCUGCUCGAUAUGAAAAAU
RNAcentral lists this ribosomal RNA (616 nucleotides) under Gracilariopsis lemaneiformis. RNAcentral's name for it is "eukaryotic LSU rRNA". It matches the Rfam family "Eukaryotic large subunit ribosomal RNA", at positions 1284 to 1900 of the family's 3401-position model. Lineage: Eukaryota; Rhodophyta; Florideophyceae; Gracilariales; Gracilariaceae. The record is from RNAcentral.